UUGAACGCUGGCGGAAUGCUUUACACAUGCAAGUCGAGCGGCAGCGCGGGGCAACCUGGCGGCGAGCGGCGAACGGGUGAGUAAUGCAUCGGAACGUACCCAGUCGUGGGGGAUAACGAAUCGAAAGAUUCGCUAAUACCGCAUACGUCCUGAGGGAGAAAGCGGGGGAUCGCAAGACCUCGCGCGAUUGGAGCGGCCGAUGUCGGAUUAGCUAGUUGGUAGGGUAAAGGCCUACCAAGGCGACGAUCCGUAGCUGGUCUGAGAGGAUGAUCAGCCACACUGGGACUGAGACACGGCCCAGACUCCUACGGGAGGCAGCAGUGGGGAAUUUUGGACAAUGGGGGAAACCCUGAUCCAGCCAUUCCGCGUGAGUGAAGAAGGCCUUCGGGUUGUAAAGCUCUUUCGGCAGGGAAGAAACGGCUCAAGCUAAUAUCUUGGGUUAAUGACGGUACCUGAAGAAGAAGCACCGGCUAACUACGU
RNAcentral lists this ribosomal RNA (480 nucleotides) under uncultured bacterium. RNAcentral describes it as "bacterial SSU rRNA". It matches the Rfam family "Bacterial small subunit ribosomal RNA", at positions 29 to 506 of the family's 1533-position model. The record is from RNAcentral.